This 849-nucleotide ribosomal RNA is filed under the name uncultured bacterium. RNAcentral describes it as "bacterial SSU rRNA". It matches the Rfam family "Bacterial small subunit ribosomal RNA", at positions 51 to 894 of the family's 1533-position model. The record is from RNAcentral.
ACACAUGCAAGUCGAGGGGCAGCAUCAUCAAAGCUUGCUUUGAUGGAUGGCGACCGGCGCACGGGUGAGUAACACGUAUCCAACCUGCCGACAACACUGGGAUAGCCUUUCGAAAGAAAGAUUAAUACCGGAUGGCAUAGUUUUCCCGCAUGGGAUAAUUAUUAAAGAAUUUCGGUUGUCGAUGGGGAUGCGUUCCAUUAGGCAGUUGGCGGGGUAACGGCCCACCAAACCUACGAUGGAUAGGGGUUCUGAGAGGAAGGUCCCCCACAUUGGAACUGAGACACGGUCCAAACUCCUACGGGAGGCAGCAGUGAGGAAUAUUGGUCAAUGGACGAGAGUCUGAACCAGCCAAGUAGCGUGAAGGAUGACUGCCCUAUGGGUUGUAAACUUCUUUUAUACGGGAAUAAAGUGAGCCACGUGUGGCUUUUUGUAUGUACCGUAUGAAUAAGGAUCGGCUAACUCCGUGCCAGCAGCCGCGGUAAUACGGAGGAUUCGAGCGUUAUCCGGAUUUAUUGGGUUUAAAGGGAGCGUAGGCGGGUUGUUAAGUCAGUUGUGAAAGUUUGCGGCUCAACCGUAAAAUUGCAGUUGAUACUGGCGACCUUGAGUGCAACAGAGGUAGGCGGAAUUCGUGGUGUAGCGGUGAAAUGCUUAGAUAUCACGAAGAACUCCGAUUGCGAAGGCAGCUUACUGGAUUGUAACUGACGCUGAUGCUCGAAAGUGUGGGUAUCAAACAGGAUUAGAUACCCUGGUAGUCCACACAGUAAACGAUGAAUACUCGCUGUUGGCGAUAUACAGUCAGCGGCCAAGCGAAAGCAUUAAGUAUUCCACCUGGGGAGUACGCCGGCACGG